RNAcentral lists this unclassified non-coding RNA (207 nucleotides) under Hevea brasiliensis (rubber tree). The record is from RNAcentral. Lineage: Eukaryota; Viridiplantae; Streptophyta; Magnoliopsida; Malpighiales; Euphorbiaceae.
GGAGAGAAGAUGAUAAAGAUGGGCAUUAUGUAUUUGCAGUGGGAGAAAAUUUAACUUCACGCUAUAAAAUUUACAGCAAAAUGGGUGAAGGUACUUUUGGUCAAGUUUUAGAGUGCUGGGACAGGGACAGAAGAGAGAUGGUAGCAAUUAAGGUUAUUCGAAGCAUAAAAAAGUACCGGGAAGCUGCUAUGAUAGAGAUUGAUGUGC